This 478-nucleotide ribosomal RNA is filed under the name Citrobacter freundii. RNAcentral describes it as "bacterial SSU rRNA". It matches the Rfam family "Bacterial small subunit ribosomal RNA", at positions 65 to 529 of the family's 1533-position model. The record is from RNAcentral. Lineage: Bacteria; Pseudomonadati; Pseudomonadota; Gammaproteobacteria; Enterobacterales; Enterobacteriaceae.
AACGGUAGCACAGAAGAGCUUGCUUUGUGUGACGAGUGGCGGACGGGUGAGUAAUGUCUGGGAAACUGCCCGAUGGAGGGGGAUAACUACUGGAAACGGUAGCUAAUACCGCAUAAUGUCGCAAGACCAAAGCAGCCCGCACCUUCGGGCCUCUUGCCAUCGGAUGUGCCCAGAUGGGAUUAGCUUGUAGGUGGGGUAACGGCUCACCUAGGCGACGAUCCCUAGCUGGUCUGAGAGGAUGACCAGCCACACUGGAACUGAGACACGGUCCAGACUCCUACGGGAGGCAGCAGUGGGGAAUAUUGCACAAUGGGCGCAAGCCUGAUGCACCCAUGCCGCGGGUAUGAAGAAGGCCUUCGGGUUGUAAAGUACUUUCAUCGAGGAGGAAGGCGUUGUGGUUUAUAACCUCUUUCGAUUGACGUUACUCGCAGAAGAAGCACCGGUUAACUCCUUGCCAGCAGCCACGCCCCCUCCCCCC